Molecule: ribosomal RNA, 2925 nt
Filed under: Escherichia coli
Lineage: Bacteria; Pseudomonadati; Pseudomonadota; Gammaproteobacteria; Enterobacterales; Enterobacteriaceae
Description: bacterial LSU rRNA
Rfam family: Bacterial large subunit ribosomal RNA
Source: RNAcentral
GGGUUGUGAGGUUAAGCGACUAAGCGUACACGGUGGAUGCCCUGGCAGUCAGAGGCGAUGAAGGACGUGCUAAUCUGCGAUAAGCGUCGGUGAGGUGAUAUGAACCGUUAUAACCGGCGAUUUCCGAAUGGGGAAACCCAGUGUGUUUCGACACACUAUCAUUAACUGAAUCCAUAGGUUAAUGAGGCGAACCGGGGGAACUGAAACAUCUAAGUACCCCGAGGAAAAGAAAUCAACCGAGAUUCCCCCAGUAGCGGCGAGCGAACGGGGAGGAGCCCAGAGCCUGAAUCAGUGUGUGUGUUAGUGGAAGCGUCUGGAAAGGCGUGCGAUACAGGGUGACAGCCCCGUACACAAAAAUGCACAUAUUGUGAGCUCGAUGAGUAGGGCGGGACACGUGGUAUCCUGUCUGAAUAUGGGGGGACCAUCCUCCAAGGCUAAAUACUCCUGACUGACCGAUAGUGAACCAGUACCGUGAGGGAAAGGCGAAAAGAACCCCGGCGAGGGGAGUGAAAAAGAACCUGAAACCGUGUACGUACAAGCAGUGGGAGCCUCUUAAUGGGGUGACUGCGUACCUUUUGUAUAAUGGGUCAGCGACUUAUAUUCUGUAGCAAGGUUAACCGAAUAGGGGAGCCGAAGGGAAACCGAGUCUUAACUGGGCGUUAAGUUGCAGGGUAUAGACCCGAAACCCGGUGAUCUAGCCAUGGGCAGGUUGAAGGUUGGGUAACACUAACUGGAGGACCGAACCGACUAAUGUUGAAAAAUUAGCGGAUGACUUGUGGCUGGGGGUGAAAGGCCAAUCAAACCGGGAGAUAGCUGGUUCUCCCCGAAAGCUAUUUAGGUAGCGCCUCGUGAAUUCAUCUCCGGGGGUAGAGCACUGUUUCGGCAAGGGGGUCAUCCCGACUUACCAACCCGAUGCAAACUGCGAAUACCGGAGAAUGUUAUCACGGGAGACACACGGCGGGUGCUAACGUCCGUCGUGAAGAGGGAAACAACCCAGACCGCCAGCUAAGGUCCCAAAGUCAUGGUUAAGUGGGAAACGAUGUGGGAAGGCCCAGACAGCCAGGAUGUUGGCUUAGAAGCAGCCAUCAUUUAAAGAAAGCGUAAUAGCUCACUGGUCGAGUCGGCCUGCGCGGAAGAUGUAACGGGGCUAAACCAUGCACCGAAGCUGCGGCAGCGACACUAUGUGUUGUUGGGUAGGGGAGCGUUCUGUAAGCCUGUGAAGGUGUGCUGUGAGGCAUGCUGGAGGUAUCAGAAGUGCGAAUGCUGACAUAAGUAACGAUAAAGCGGGUGAAAAGCCCGCUCGCCGGAAGACCAAGGGUUCCUGUCCAACGUUAAUCGGGGCAGGGUGAGUCGACCCCUAAGGCGAGGCCGAAAGGCGUAGUCGAUGGGAAACAGGUUAAUAUUCCUGUACUUGGUGUUACUGCGAAGGGGGGACGGAGAAGGCUAUGUUGGCCGGGCGACGGUUGUCCCGGUUUAAGCGUGUAGGCUGGUUUUCCAGGCAAAUCCGGAAAACCAAGGCUGAGGCGUGAUGACGAGGCACUACGGUGCUGAAGCGACAAAUGCCCUGCUUCCAGGAAAAGCCUCUAAGCAUCAGGUAACAUCAAAUCGUACCCCAAACCGACACAGGUGGUCAGGUAGAGAAUACCAAGGCGCUUGAGAGAACUCGGGUGAAGGAACUAGGCAAAAUGGUGCCGUAACUUCGGGAGAAGGCACGCUGAUAUGUAGGUGAAGCGACUUGCUCGUGGAGCUGAAAUCAGUCGAAGAUACCAGCUGGCUGCAACUGUUUAUUAAAAACACAGCACUGUGCAAACACGAAAGUGGACGUAUACGGUGUGACGCCUGCCCGGUGCCGGAAGGUUAAUUGAUGGGGUUAGCGGUAACGCGAAGCUCUUGAUCGAAGCCCCGGUAAACGGCGGCCGUAACUAUAACGGUCCUAAGGUAGCGAAAUUCCUUGUCGGGUAAGUUCCGACCUGCACGAAUGGCGUAAUGAUGGCCAGGCUGUCUCCACCCGAGACUCAGUGAAAUUGAACUCGCUGUGAAGAUGCAGUGUACCCGCGGCAAGACGGAAAGACCCCGUGAACCUUUACUAUAGCUUGACACUGAACAUUGAGCCUUGAUGUGUAGGAUAGGUGGGAGGCUUUGAAGUGUGGACGCCAGUCUGCAUGGAGCCGACCUUGAAAUACCACCCUUUAAUGUUUGAUGUUCUAACGUUGGCCCCUGAUCGGGGUUGCGGACAGUGUCUGGUGGGUAGUUUGACUGGGGCGGUCUCCUCCUAAAGAGUAACGGAGGAGCACGAAGGUUGGCUAAUCCUGGUCGGACAUCAGGAGGUUAGUGCAAUGGCAUAAGCCAGCUUGACUGCGAGCGUGACGGCGCGAGCAGGUGCGAAAGCAGGUCAUAGUGAUCCGGUGGUUCUGAAUGGAAGGGCCAUCGCUCAACGGAUAAAAGGUACUCCGGGGAUAACAGGCUGAUACCGCCCAAGAGUUCAUAUCGACGGCGGUGUUUGGCACCUCGAUGUCGGCUCAUCACAUCCUGGGGCUGAAGUAGGUCCCAAGGGUAUGGCUGUUCGCCAUUUAAAGUGGUACGCGAGCUGGGUUUAGAACGUCGUGAGACAGUUCGGUCCCUAUCUGCCGUGGGCGCUGGAGAACUGAGGGGGGCUGCUCCUAGUACGAGAGGACCGGAGUGGACGCAUCACUGGUGUUCGGGUUGUCAUGCCAAUGGCACUGCCCGGUAGCUAAAUGCGGAAGAGAUAAGUGCUGAAAGCAUCUAAGCACGAAACUUGCCCCGAGAUGAGUUCUCCCUGAGACUUAGAGUCUCCUGAAGGAACGUUGAAGACGACGACGUUGAUAGGCCGGGUGUGUAAGCGCAGCGAUGCGUUGAGCUAACCGGUACUAAUGAACCGUGAGGCUUAACCUUACAACGCCGAAG